GAUGAACGCUGGCGGCGUGCCUAAUACAUGCAAGUCGAGCGAACAGACGAGGAGCUUGCGCCUUUGACGAUAGCGGCGGACGGGUGAGUAACACGUGUGUAACCUACCUAUAAGAGUGGGAUAACUUCGGGAAACCGGAGCUAACACCGGAGAAUAUUUCGAACCGCAUGGUUCGAUAGUGAAAGAUGGCUUUGCGAUCACUUAUAGAUGGACCUGCGCCGUAUUAGCUAGUUGGUAAGGUAACGGCUUACCAAGGCAACGAUACGUAGCCGACCUGAGAGGGUGAUCGGCGACACUGGAAGUGAGACACGGUCCAGAGUCCUACGGGAGGCAGCAGUAGGGAAUCUUACGCAAUGGGCGAAAGCCUGACGGAGCAACGCCGAGUGAGUGAUGAAGGUCUUCGGAUCGUAAAACUCUGUUAUUAGGGAAGAACAAAUGUGUAAGUAACUGUGCACGUCUUGACGGUACCUAAUCAGAAAGCCACGGCUAACUACGUG
This 497-nucleotide ribosomal RNA is filed under the name uncultured bacterium. RNAcentral's name for it is "partial 16S ribosomal RNA". It matches the Rfam family "Bacterial small subunit ribosomal RNA", at positions 28 to 507 of the family's 1533-position model. The record is from RNAcentral.